This 251-nucleotide ribosomal RNA is filed under the name uncultured bacterium. RNAcentral's name for it is "partial 16S ribosomal RNA". It matches the Rfam family "Bacterial small subunit ribosomal RNA", at positions 525 to 776 of the family's 1533-position model. The record is from RNAcentral.
ACGUAAGGACCGAGCGUUGUCCGGAAUCAUUGGGCGUAAAGGGUACGUAGGCGGCUAGAAAAGUUAGAAGUCAAAGGCUAUAGCUCAACUAUAGUAAGCUUCUAAAACUAUUUAGCUUGAGAAAUGGAAGGGAAAGUGGAAUUCCUAGUGUAGCGGUGGAAUGCGCAGAUAUUAGGAAGAAUACCGGUGGCGAAGGCGACUUUCUGGCCAUUAUCUGACGCUGAGGUACGAAAGCGUGGGUAGCAAACAGG